Non-coding RNA from Acanthosepion pharaonis, 105 nucleotides. NCBI's taxonomy places the organism in Eukaryota, Metazoa, Mollusca, Cephalopoda, Sepiida, Sepiidae. The record is from the annotation of a GenBank genome assembly.
UAUGACCAUAUUAUAUUGAAAACACCAGUUCUCAUACAAUCACCAAAGUUAAGCAACAUCAGUACCUAGAUGGGUGACCACUUGGGAAUACCAAGUGCUGCAAGC